Molecule: transfer-messenger RNA, 353 nt
Filed under: Candidatus Doudnabacteria bacterium RIFCSPHIGHO2_01_52_17
Lineage: Bacteria; Candidatus Doudnaibacteriota
Also listed under: 1 other name
Rfam family: transfer-messenger RNA
About the family: Bacterial tmRNA, also known as 10Sa RNA or SsrA, is named for its dual tRNA and mRNA-like properties. Its role is to liberate the mRNA from a stalled ribosome.
Source: RNAcentral
GGGGGCGUCUAGCCUCGAUGGAUUAGGACUUUGAAAAAUGCAGCGUGAGGAUGCGAGGUUUCCUCAUAAAUCUUCCUUCGCAAACUUUCAAGUGCAAAUAAUACUGCACCUGCCCUCGCUUACGCUUAAUCGCUAAGCAAGGUGUCUCUCCUGUUGUGGCCUCAAAGACAGGAAGAGGCAUUAUAUUUGAGGAUUACCGCGAAAACCCUCCCGACUUCGCGGGAAAUUAAAGGGAGAAACUUUUGAAUUAUUUUGCUUCUUUUUUAAUUCAAGAGUACACAAAGGAGCUAACGCUGUAGAAUUUUUUCAAUCCACUUUUUCAGACAGGAGUGCAAAUCUCCUCGCCUCCACUA